UGAUUUUGAAGAAUGUACCCAUGUUUUGAUACAAUAAUUUUUUUGGUUAAUUUUGAUGAAUGUACCCAUGUUUAUACACACACACACACAAUAGUGUAUUUAUAUUUUAAGAUUUUUUAUCCCACAAAUUAUGAUUUUUUAUUUAAAAUCUCAAUUAUAUAAACAACUAAAAUUUCUAAUUUUUAAUUUAAAAAAUAUAGUAACGUACAUAGAAAUAAAUUAUCACAUUAAUUUCAGGGACCUAGAUCAAAAAUUAAAAACCAACAAGGUUUUAAUCAAAGAAUAUUCAUAACUAAGGACCGUAUCCAAAGUCUCCCUUUUAAAAAGAAAUUCAUUCAAUUUUUAUCCAUUUUGAUCACGAGUGUGGAGCCAAAAAUAAUCAAGAGACGGCACAUGGAUUUUUGGGCAGAAAUGACAAAAUUACCCUUGAGGAGCAUCGAAAUUCCCACUCACAAGCAGUAGGCAAUCAUCCCACAAUCAAGUCAAAAGUGCCCAAAAUAGGUAUUUAUUCAAAACCUAUUUCAUCCAUCUUCUCCGCAAGGUAACUCCCAAAAACAUUCAUUUUAAAUUAUGUUAAUUAGCUAAUUAAUCUAUUAAUGGCUAAUUAAAUUACCAAUAAACUAUAAAAUACACUCAAAAACACCACAAAAGGCCGGCCAUGUUCUCCCCCAAUGAGGCCCGCCAUGCCCUAUAUAUACUACCUCAUUUUCUCUAAAAAUCCAGGUCUACACUCUUGCUAAAUACUCAAAAUUUUCCAAACACUUUUCCCUCAAAAUUCUAACUUUGGCAUUUGAGGUUCUUCAGCCAAAGCCCCCCCCUAAAUUCAUCGUGGGCGCGUGAGGCUAUUGGCCUUGACCUAAGGUGUUAUUUGUUUUGUAGGUGCAAUUUUGUCCAAGAACAAGGAGGAAGAAAUUUGCAUCCACAAAUUGGUGUUUUCAUUGAGAGUUGAGUCCCCGCUCGUAGAAGACUCUCGCAUCCAAGGUUUUUCUAUUUUUCUUGUACAUUUGUAGAUUUUUCGUAUGUUUUUAUUAUUAGAAUUUUUUAUUUGCAAAAAUUCUUUGAUAAAAUGUAAUAGAGAAGUACAAUGGCUAGAAAUUUAGAAAAUUCAAAUAUUCAAGAGAUGGGACCGCGGUGAUUCCCAAGGCUAAAUGUGACAAUAAGUGGAGCGGCACCACCACCAUGAGUUUCCAUCACGGGAACCACCGCGGUGGCUACCACGGUAGCCACCCACGGCGAGGUCUAUGAUGUCACCACCACGGCCCGAGUCGUGCCAUCCAAAGCCUACAGCACCAAGGUCACGACCCAAGCCAAGUCACUACACGCCUAACGUGAACCCAAUGCGUUGCCAAGCCGAGCCCAAGCCUCGCACCCACAUGCGUUGCACAUCGAGUAGCCUACUCCCGUGGCCCAGCUUGCUCCCGCUGAGCAGCCUAUUCCCGUGGCCUUCCAAGCAGCCUAAAUCAGUCCAAGAUUAGUUCAAUCAUCCCGACUCCAAAUUUCUGGACCGACGAUCAAACCAGAAGCAUUUUCACCACAUUUUUCUGCGGAUUUGACAUUUCCCAACUCAAAUCUCGCGCCCAGAGUCGACCAUACUUCCACUGCUCAAUGAAAUACAUUCCUUCCAAGUUAUUCUAACCCAAAUGGAGAACAACACUUGUCUCGACAAGUUAUAGAGUUGACGAGCACCCUCGCAUAGCAGACGACCUUGGUGAAUCAGCUUUUGCAACCCACCGAGAUGCAAUGUGCCCCUGACAAGGUGUCCCAACGUAGGACAAGGGCAGACGAAGAAUCUCUCCAGCAAGCAGCCACUUAACCAGUCGCGAACCGAGCGUUCUAAUGUAGUAUACUCUAGUCUUAGCACGAGGAGAAACAUGCAUUCUCAGUUAGGCCCACGGACAAACAUAUACUCACGGUUGGGGCCAUACUCCGAUAAUCAACAUGAGCAACAUUCUAGGUGAAGUGUUCAUUCGCGGCAAGGCCCGCAAGGAGCAUCAUUCACCUCACAUCAAAGUAGGCAGCACAACGGACAAAGAGAAGCAAUCACUCAAUCUGGCUCAAGUUCAACCAGCAACCUAUGAGUUACUUGCUCGCUUGCUAGGAACAUACCAAAUGCACCGCAGCUGCACUGUAGACUAGCUGAACAUAUGGAUGAGCAUCCUAGACCAGUAGGUCACGACCGAGGACAGCCGAGAGCUCCGCCAUCCCCAACAAAGGUAAAUUCAGGAAAAAGUAUAAAAACUCAUGACCAAGCGAUUUAAGAGAUUUCUUGCGCAACGAAGCUAUUAACAAGGCGCUCCGAUGAGACAUGACCAACAUAAACUAGUCAUCUUUCAAUGACAAGAUCGAGCAGGCGGGACUACCCCACAUAGAUUGCCGGAUACAAAGACUACUUCUGUUCCGACAACAGCUUAGCCUAAUGGUGCGCCGGGGGUAGACGAGUACCAGAAUGACACACUAACCCAACUACCAAGAAUCGAAGGCAUGCCUUGUUCUCAACACUUCAGACGAUUUAAUACUGAAGUAGCACAUCAUCAGUAGCCAAGCAUCACAGACUUAUUGGUCCAAUUCCUCCUGUUGCGCACAACCUGGCCUAAGCCCUGCUUUCACAAUCGUGCCUACCUGCUCCACGGCUCUCGACAGCCAUUGACCUAUCACCAUGGCUUAUAACUGUGUCAAUCUUGCACCACGGUUCCCAGCUGUGCCGAUUUUGCCACGUUGCUCACAUCAACCAAGCUUCAAAAGGGCACACGACGAAACACAUAAUGAUGGCACAAUAAUUCUGGGAAUUGCUCACUGUGCUUACACCCUUACGUGGGUUCCACAAACAGUUCGAAAUCUCAAGCAGUUCGCCAAACAAGACCUCGCAGGCUGAGGAUUAUUUCAGUUGUCCAGCAGUCCAGCUUUCCUUAACUGUUGUCCACAACAACUACUCAAAACCCUUUAUGGGUCCACUCUCCAGUGUGAGAGGAUAAAUUAAUUGCUCUCCAAUGCUAGAGGGUAAACCAAUUCCCCGACACCUAUAUGGGUCUGCUCUCUAGUGCGAGAGGAUAAACUAAUUACUCUCCAGUGCGAGCACCCAUAUGAGUUUAUUUUCCAGUGCAAGAGGAUAAACUAAUUGCUCUCUAGUGCGAAAGGGUAAACCAAUUCCCCGACACCCAUAUGGGUCUGCUCUCUAGUGCGAAAUGAUAAACUAAUUGCUCUUCAUUGCGAAAGGGUAAACCAAUUCCCCGACACCCAUAUGGGUUUGCUCUCAAGUAUGAGAGGAUAAACUAAUUGCUUUCCAGUGCGAGAGGGUAAACUAAUUGCUCUCCAAUGCGAGAGGGUAAACUAAUUCCCCGACACCCAUCUGGGUAAGCUCUCUAGUGCGAGAAGGCCACAUAAGUCAAAAGAUCAAAUGCUUGAAGAUCAACUAGGCAGUAAAUGGUCAUGGGGCAUCAACCACUUUUGCACUUAAUAGUUCGCUCAUCCGAUCCGACACUUCAUCUUCAACAGCUCCGAUCUUGGCAGCUCCACCCUUGACUGCUCCAUCUACGGCAGCUGAUAAAUCAAACUCAAGCAGUUUCCUCAUUUUUGGUAAGCAGCCCAGACGUGCAGCACAAAUCGUUGCCCAUGCCUAUCUUUAGCUUCAAUCAAGCCGAGCAACACAAGCAAUGGCCCCUGCCACACCACCUCAUUUGCCCAUGCUAAGCCAACUUCUGGCCCUUGCCAGCCGAAGUGCCGCACCACCCCAACAGUUGCCUCGUGGCAGCACCUCCCAAGAAGAAGACAAUGAGAAUUAAGUUUUUCUUACAUUGGUGCGGCUCAAAGAAGACAAAGAAAUCAACGGAAGACAAUUCUUUGCAUAGGCAAGCAAAGAAGAGUGCUAAGGGAGGGGGAACAAAUAUCAUCUAGCUUUCUCUCUUUCUUAUAGGGAUAAAUAAUUGCCCUCCGAAGUUGAUUUAAUCCCCUACUUAACGUAGGCUUAAAUAGGCUAUGGAGCCGAUUUAUUUCCCUUUCAUAGAAAAAGCUAAUUCCAAGUCCAAGAGAUAAUCUGCAUCAAAGUUGGAGAUCUCAACACCUGUUGCCCUUUCCUGUGAGCAGCCCAGCAGGUGUGGGGGCAUUUGUGGAGCCAAAAAUAAUCAAGAGAGGACACGUGGAUUUUUGGGUAGAAAGGACAAAAUUACCCUUGAGAAGCACUGGAAUUCCCAUGCACGAGCAAUGGAAAUCAUCCCAUAAUCAAGUCAAAAGUGCCCAAAAUAUGUAUUUAUUCAAAACCUACUUCAUCCAUCUUUUCCACAAGGUAACCCCAAAACAUUCUUUUUAAAUUAUGUUAAUUAGCUAAUUAAUCUAUUAAUGGCUAAUUAAAUUACCAAUUAACUACAAAUACACUCAAAAACAUCACAAAGGGCCGGCCACCUUCUCCCCCAAGGAUGCCCGCCAUGCCUUAUAUAUACUACCCCUUUUUCUCUAAAAACCUAGGUCUACACUCUUGCUAAAU
This 4477-nucleotide long non-coding RNA is filed under the name Malus domestica (apple). RNAcentral's name for it is "long non-coding RNA (MDOM_LNC016157)". Lineage: Eukaryota; Viridiplantae; Streptophyta; Magnoliopsida; Rosales; Rosaceae. The record is from RNAcentral.